RNAcentral lists this ribosomal RNA (1039 nucleotides) under Bambusicola splendida. RNAcentral describes it as "SSU rRNA". It matches the Rfam family "Eukaryotic small subunit ribosomal RNA", at positions 80 to 1128 of the family's 1831-position model. The record is from RNAcentral. Lineage: Eukaryota; Fungi; Ascomycota; Dothideomycetes; Pleosporales; Bambusicolaceae.
CGUGAAACUGCGAAUGGCUCAUUAAAUCAGUUAUCGUUUAUUUGAUAGUACCUUACUACUUGGAUAACCGUGGUAAUUCUAGAGCUAAUACAUGCUGAAAACCCCGACUUCGGGAGGGGUGUAUUUAUUAGAUAAAAAACCAAUGCCCUUCGGGGCUCCUUGGUGAUCCAUAAUAACUUCUCAGAUCGCAUGGCCUUGCGCCGGCGACGGUUCAUUCAAAUUUCUGCCCUAUCAACUUUCGAUGGUAAGGUAUUGGCUUACCAUGGUUUCAACGGGUAACGGGGAAUUAGGGUUCGAUUCCGGAGAAGGAGCCUGAGAAACGGCUCCUACAUCCAAGGAAGGCAGCAGGCGCGCAAAUUACCCAAUCCCGACACGGGGAGGUAGUGACAAUAAAUACUGAUACAGGGCUCUUUUGGGUCUUGUAAUUGGAAUGAGUACAAUUUAAACCUCUUAACGAGGAACAAUUGGAGGGCAAGUCUGGUGCCAGCAGCCGCGGUAAUUCCAGCUCCAAUAGCGUAUAUUAAAGUUGUUGCAGUUAAAAAGCUCGUAGUUGAACCUUUGGCCUGGCUGGCAGGUCCGCCUCACCGCGUGUACUUGUCCGGCCGGGCCUUUUCUUCUGGAGAACCGCAUGCCCUUCACUGGGUGUGUUGGGGACCAGGACUUUUACUUUGAAAAAAUUAGAGUGUUCAAAGCAGGCCUUUGCUCGAAUACGUUAGCAUGGAAUAAUAGAAUAGGACGUGCGGUCCUAUUUUGUUGGUUUCUAGGACCGCCGUAAUGAUUAAUAGGGACAGUCGGGGGCAUCAGUAUUCAAUUGUCAGAGGUGAAAUUCUUGGAUUUAUUGAAGACUAACUACUGCGAAAGCAUUUGCCAAGGAUGUUUUCAUUAAUCAGUGAACGAAAGUUAGGGGAUCGAAGACGAUCAGAUACCGUCGUAGUCUUAACCAUAAACUAUGCCGACUAGGGAUCGGGCGGUGUUUCAAUUUUGACUCGCUCGGCACCUUACGAGAAAUCAAAGUGUUUGGGUUCUGGGGGGAGUAUGG